CGGGGCGGCGGCGUGUUGCUCGCUCCCCGCCUCCGCCUUCGGGGAGGAGAGCGCGGGGUGCCGGGGCGAAGCAGCGGGUGAUGGGGAAGAGGCGAGCGCGGCGCUGAGAGUCCUGUGGGGCCGGAUGAGCCGAGGCUUGGCGCCGCGGCGGUGGCGGGGCUGGAGGAGAGGGCGAAGGAGGCUGUAGGGGCGGCCCCCGCUCCGGCUGCCCUGAGGGGAAGGAGCCCCCGACCAUGGAGAUCGAGAACAUCGUGGCCAACACGAGUGCUGCUGAAAGCCCGGGAGGGCAAACGGAGUGGGCGUAGUAAAAAAUGGAAAGAGAUGCUGAAGUUGCCACCUGUUAGUCACUGUGAAGGUAUUAGAUCCUCAAUUGAAAGAGACUAUAGCCAGCUUUGUGACAAACAGCCUAUAGGAAGACUUCUCUUCAGACAGUUCUGUGAUUCCAGACCAGAUUUGAAAAGAUGCAUCGAAUUUCUGGAUGCAGUGGCAGAAUAUGAGGUAUCUUCAGAUGAAAAGCGUAUAGACUGUGGCCUCAAAGUUUUAGAGACGUACUUCACUAAUGGGUCUGCAGCACACUUGCCAGAAAUACCUCAGGAAACAGUAAAUGAAUGUAAAGCAAGACUGGAAAAGAACCCUUCUAAGGAUCUUUUUAUGGACUGUACUAGAAUUGUCCAUGAAUACCUAAGCAAAAGACCUUUUGAAGCUUACCAAGAAAGUGUGUAUUUUUCCCGUUUCUUACAGUGGAAAUGGCUGGAAAAGCAACCAGUAACCAAACACACAUUUAGGCAUUACCGAGUCCUAGGCAAAGGUGGAUUUGGAGAGGUGUGUGCCUGUCAAGUACGGGCAACAGGAAAAAUGUAUGCUUGUAAAAAGCUAGAAAAAAAGAGAAUAAAGAAGAGGAAAGGAGAAUCAAUGGCUCUAAAUGAAAAAAGAAUUCUAGAAAAAGUGAAUAGUAGGUUUGUAGUUAGUUUAUCCUACACGUACGAAACGAAAGAUGCCCUGUGUUUAGUAUUAACCAUAAUGAAUGGAGGGGAUCUGAAGUUUCACAUAUAUAACAUGGGAAAUCCUGGCUUUGAUGAAGAAAGGGCUAUUUUCUAUGCUGCAGAACUGUGCUGUGGCCUGGAGGAUUUGCAGAGGGAGAGAAUUGUUUACAGAGACUUGAAGCCUGAGAAUAUACUUCUUGAUGACUGUGGGCAUAUCAGAAUUUCAGAUCUUGGAUUAGCUGUGCAGAUUCCAGAAGGAGAAACGGUCAGAGGUCGAGUUGGGACCGUGGGUUACAUGGCUCCAGAAGUGCUCAAAAAUGAAAAGUAUACAUUCAGUCCGGAUUGGUGGGGUCUUGGCUGCUUGAUUUAUGAAAUGAUUGAAGGACAGUCUCCAUUCAGGAAGCAUAAGGAAAGGGUCAAACGGGAUGAGAUUGACCGGAGAGUAAAGGAAGACCAGGAAACAUAUUCAGACAAGUUCUCAGAGGAGGCAAAAUCCAUCUGCAGGAUGUUGCUUGCUAAAAAUCCAGGGGAGCGACUGGGUUGCACUGAAGAUGGAGCUGCUGUUGUAAAGCAACAUCCUAUUUUCAGGAACAUUAACUUCAAGAGGCUGGAAGCAAACAUGUUAGAACCUCCAUUCUUGCCAGAUGUAAGUAGCCACGUGCUGUAUAUUGUAAAGAUGUCCUGGACAUAGAGCAGUUCUCAACAGUAAAAGGAGUGAACCUGGAUACUACAGAUGAUGACUUCUAUUCCAAGUUUGUUACGGGUUGUGUCUCCAUCCCUUGGCAAAAUGAGAUGAUUGAAACGGGAUGCUUUGAAGAUAUCAAUGCGUAUGAAACCGAUGGUACUGUGUCACCAGACAGAGAGAGGUCUCCUAAACCAAAGAGAGGCUUCUUUCACAGACUCUUUAGUGGAGAGGUCUGUUUUAAAUCUGAUUGCAGUGAUGAUGAGCAGGAGUCCUCCAGACUUUAAAUCAUUUUACUCUCAUCAGAAAGGAUGAGCAAACGUUAAAUGUUUUAUAUCUCUGUAGCAAAUUGUAUUAUAUAUAUUUUUUAUCUGAGUUCAAGGAUUUUUGUACAUUUGUACUUCAUUUGUUUUAAGAUGUAUAUUUUCACUAAAGCUUAAUUGUACAAAAAGCAAUGAGUGCCAUUUGAGUGAGUGUGUUUCUGUAUGUAUUUGAUUUAUCUUGAUUAAUUUUUUCUCAGUGGAAUGAAUCUAGGAAUACUAAAAGGAUUUUAAAGCACAGAGAUAAUACCUAUGGCAUCAGUGUAACUUGACUUUGUUUGUUCCUGGUAAAACUCUUUUUGUUAAUUAGGAUCUUUAUUAGCAGUUUUCUUAACUUUAAAAUUGCUGUACUGAUGAAUUUAAUAAUUCUGGUACUAUCCAGCAGCAUGGCAGUGCUAUUACCUAAUGUAUCUCUCAAGCAACUGCUAAGACAAAAAAAAGGAAUUCAGUGCACUGUGACCAGCUAUUAGGAAUUGCUCUUUACUAUCUGGCUCUGUAGAAUAUCUUUCUGUAUUUCUGUAUAAAGAGAAUUCUGAACAUUUAGCUUAAUCUUGUGACAAACUGCAGUGCCCCAUUCUUCUUUUUUCUACCCAUCUUACACAUCCUCUUCAUACAGUUUCUUGGCAGGAACCUAUGCCAAAAUUUUGUAACUAUAUUUUGAAAAGUGUGUUGUCUUUACUGAAAGGAUUUCUUUAUACCUGUGGGGACACCUUUUUAUUUUUUUCUGUAAAUGAAAUUGUUUUUAACUCUCUUUAGGAUGUUAUAAUUUUGUAAUGGGUUAAAAAACAAAACAUGGGCUCUUUUUACUAACCUCCUCUCUGCUUAUUAUGUUGUAAUAUGCAAUGUUGUGGGGUUGACAGCGAUCACUGCCACUGAGGAAAGGGCAAGAUAAUUUAAAGUAGCAAAUUUAAUUAUGUAAAUAUUUUUUUCUUAUAACCUUUUAAAACAGAAACAUUAAAACCUGCCUUUAAUGAUUGCUUAACACAAAUGUGGAGCUGGUAUUGAAGUUUGUUAUGAUUACUUGAUGUUCAUUAGUAAAACUGAUAAAAGGUACCUGAAAGCUAGUCAAACUUCCGUUCUUCUGGACUCACACAUGCCAGACUUUUUAUUUGGUUUCCAGUAAAACUAUUCAUCUCUGUGUGAGAGUCAAUUUAAAGAGCACAUUUCAUUAAGAGCCUUUUCUGUUUUCAAAAUUUGAGUUAGGGACUUAAAAUAUAAUGGAAUGCUCUUGGAGUUGGAGACAUGACUUUAGUUACAUAUUUUGUUCUGUAUUCUGAAGAUUUGUCUCCACUGAACAUUCUUUUUUUUUUUUUCUCUCAAAUCUCUGGGGCACCAACCAGACCACACAUGUAUUGUACACACAGAGCAACUGAGUAGCCCCACCUCAAAAAGGUCUCUGCUUGUGAUCCACAGACCCACUGGAAGAAAUUUAAGCUGCUUCUGAGAAACUCACAACAUACAUUUGGUUGUCAAGCCCAUCAUCAGGUUUUAAUUCACAGUAUUUGGUCUCUAAAGACAAAUGUUUUGGUGGAUUAGAAUUUGAAAAAAGUUGAAAAACCAGUGUGUUACAGAACCCUACUGGGGCUCAGCUGGUGUCUAUCUGAAAUUGCCACAGAAAUAAGGAAUGAGAGACUCUUUUCCUAUGUUGUUAGUGCAUUUUUCCUGCAGUCUACAGCAGCACACAGGACACCAAAAUGACUUGUGGAAAGUACAAAGAAAUUGGCAGAGGGAGAGAGAGUUUGACUGAAUUACUGGAAGAUGGUCUGAUGUAAUAGUGAAGGGAUGGGAGGCUUGACAGAAAGAGAAAUGUCUGAAGUGAGGGUGUUGGCUGGAACCAUUAUGUGUGAGACAAUGAGCUGGCAUGGUCUGACCUGACCCUCUUAAUUUUGUACCACAGUAAUAGAAGGACUCUAAAGAGAUGGGAAUGGAAAAAUGGGGAAGUAGUAAAAGUGUUUUAUAAAUACCUACCUGAUUGCAGAAGUCAUCAUUUCCCUGAUUAAGGGGAUUAGUUUUUUAAGGUCUUAGGUUUGCUGUUUUGAGGCAAAGGGGGCUGUAUUAAGACUGGACAAAUGGGGUGACAGAGUGGGUUUAAUAUCUGCAUAGAACAACUUGAAAUUGGGCAAGAAUACCAUGGACACAAGCUGAGUAAAUUUUAUGAAGAAAAUACAGGAAUGGGCUUUAAUAGAUUAAAAAAAAAAUAUCUGCAAGUUUAUUUAUCAUGUAUUUCAAAUUUUCUUUCCUCAUUGGAUGGAGAGGAAUCUUAACUUAAAAAAAAUCAAAUCAACUUCUCUAUUUUGGAGUGUUGAGACAGCACAUUCUCCAGGGUUCUGCAAAAAAAAAAA
Molecule: RNA transcript, 4327 nt
Organism: Manacus vitellinus (golden-collared manakin)
Lineage: Eukaryota; Metazoa; Chordata; Aves; Passeriformes; Pipridae
Gene: GRK4
Gene name: G protein-coupled receptor kinase 4
Exons: 16
Source: RefSeq, a predicted model, not a curated record